CCCGUAUGUACAGCUUGAAUCAACAACGUUACAGUGUACAGUUCAUUAAAUCCUAGUACAUUUCCUGCCCUUAAAUUUCUGGUGCACAUAUUUUAAGAAUGGGAAAAACUAAUGACUGACAAGAAAACUUACUCUUGAGAUCCAAACCCAGAUGGCUGGCCUAUACAGUGAUUGAAAAAAAAAGAAAGAUUUAAGACGUCAUUGUAAAACUACAAAAGAUCAAGGCUACCGCCAAAGCUUGGACUACCAAAGCCACCCGUGCUACCUGCCCCAGCUUGCUGAUUAAGAUUUCCAAAAGUCUGCUGUCCUUGCUGUGUAAGGGAGUUAAAUGAUGGAGCUUGUGCAGAUGCAGCUAGAGU
Limulus polyphemus (Atlantic horseshoe crab) is the source of this 359-nucleotide long non-coding RNA. RefSeq lists it as uncharacterized. The transcript is spliced from 3 exons. Lineage: Eukaryota; Metazoa; Arthropoda; Merostomata; Xiphosura; Limulidae. The record is from RefSeq and is a predicted model, not a curated record.